UAGGGAAUCUUCGGCAAUGGACGAAAGUCUGACCGAGCAACGCCGCGUGAGUGAAGAAGGUUUUCGGAUUGUAAAACUCUGUUGUUAGAGAAGAACAAGGACGUUAGUAACUGAACGUCCCCUGACGGUAUCUAACCAGAAAGCCACGGCUAACUACGUGCCAGCAGCCGCGGUAAUACGUAGGUGGCAAGCGUUGUCCGGAGUUAUUGGGCGUAAAGCGAGCGCAGGCGGUUUCUUAAGUCUGAUGUGAAAGCCCCCGGCUCAACCGGGGAGGGUCAUUGGAAACUGGGAGACUUGAGUGCAGAAGAGGAGAGUGGAAUUCCAUGUGUAGCGGUGAAAUGCGUAGAUAUAUGGAGGAACACCAGUGGCGAAGGCGGCUCUCUGGUCUGUAACUGACGCUGAGGCUCGAAAGCGUGGGGAGCAAACAGG
Molecule: ribosomal RNA, 429 nt
Filed under: Gemmatimonadota bacterium
Lineage: Bacteria; Pseudomonadati; Gemmatimonadota
Description: Gemmatimonadetes bacterium partial 16S ribosomal RNA
Rfam family: Bacterial small subunit ribosomal RNA
Source: RNAcentral